GUGCAGAAUUGGAUUCACUGAUACAAUAUUAAAAUGGCAGCAUUUUAGAUGCUGCAGUGUAAGAAAUAACCUGGAGAGUGCCUACAGAUCAGAAAUGAACCGCAUCCCCUCUGGUGGUCACAGAAGAAGGAGCAUCAUCGAAAGGAACUAUACCAUUACCUAAAUAUUUACUGCAGCAGGAUUCCUUCCUUUUAGACGUGUCUCUGCGAGACACUAUUUCUCCCUCUAGGGUUUGACUUCUUUUCCCAGAAACAGCAUUCGUUUUCCACAAAACCUUAUUACGUUCCAAUUGCUCAAUCCUUUGCUUCUGCUCCUGAAGGUUAUGCUCUAGCUCAUGAAUUUUCAUAGUGAGGUUUCUAAUUGUUUCACUUUGUUCCUGGUUUGUUUUCAUUUCCUUAACGUAACGUUUCUGUAGAUUAUUAUACAGCUGUAGUAGUCUGGCACUUCCACCCUCUAAAUUAAGAUCCUUGCUGUAUCCACC
This 481-nucleotide long non-coding RNA is filed under the name Gallus gallus (chicken). The record is from RNAcentral. Lineage: Eukaryota; Metazoa; Chordata; Aves; Galliformes; Phasianidae.